CCUACGGGAGGCAGCAGUGGGGGAUAUUGCACAAUGGGGGGAACCCUGAUGCAGCGACGCCGCGUGGGUGAAGAAGCGCCUCGGCGCGUAAAGCCCUGUCAGCAGGGAAGAAAAUGACGGUACCUGAAGAAGAAGCCCCGGCUAACUACGUGCCAGCAGCCGCGGUAAUACGUAGGGGGCAAGCGUUAUCCGGAUUUACUGGGUGUAAAGGGGGCGCAGACGGCGAUGCAAGCCAGGAGUGAAAGCCCGGGGCCCAACCCCGGGACGGCCCCUGGGACUUCGUGGCGGGAGUGCAGGAGGGGCAGGGGGAAAUUCUGGGGUAGCGGGGAAAUGCGG
Molecule: ribosomal RNA, 336 nt
Filed under: uncultured bacterium
Lineage: Bacteria
Description: partial 16S ribosomal RNA
Rfam family: Bacterial small subunit ribosomal RNA
Source: RNAcentral